UUCAUCUCAUGCCCCAAAACAUGAUAAACAAAAGGUGCGACAGCAAUCGCUACAGUCUACGCUACAUAAUGAAUCUCGGGAAGCAGAGGUCUGCUUGUCGGAGCCGAUUAGAUGAUGAGGAGGGGGAGGAGGCAAGGGAAGAGGAGGAGGAGGAGGAGGAGACAGAGAGAUAUGAGAUGGAGUCUGACAGCGAUACCUCCAAUCUAGCCACCCUCUACUAGCGUCACUCCUCUCUAACAUUAGGCUGAGGUCUCUGAUGGAUUCUUGAAGCUUACACAAUAAACAAGGCCUUUCCCUCAUCACCUGCUUUGUAAUUCUUCGGCAUUAGGGUCCUAAGCCCUCAGAUGUGAUCUCCUAAUGCAGUAGUAAGACAUCGCGCCAUGUACACCUUGCAGGCAUGGUCACCUUACCAACGUCACGGCUUAAAGCGACUUUGGCUACUGAAGACAGUCGGGAGUGCGGUAGUCGAAACAAGCCAGUUGGCUCUAGUCAGGAAUCAGCGACUCUACUGGGAGGCAACACCUCGUCAGAAAGAGUGGUGUGUGCAUUUAAGAGUUCAGUAGAUAUCUCUACUUUGCAGGUGUUCGAAUCCAACAUGUGGCUGUCUCCCUGGGUAGACAUUUUCGACCCCGGAUGAUGCGUUUUUUCUAUCCUGGCUAUGAAUCCAUCCUGCUGUGUUCACAUGAUUGAGUAAUUGAUAAGAUCUGCAAGCUUUACCAGAAAAUACUAAUAAACAAAAGUAUCCGUGGAGUGUUUGAUGUUUCAUUACUGUCGUGCUAGAGUGUGUGUGUUCCAGCCCAUAGCAGACAUCAUUGAAUGAGAUACCUUCACGCAUCAACAAAUCUCAAAACGCACUUUCGAUUACAGUGCGAAGGAAGAUUGAGUACAUUCUAAACAUCAAGUGUACGUUUUCCAGAAUUGUAAAAGUCACAAAAUCCUUUUGUACUUUGUUAGAAUUAAAUAAAAAUGUAUAAAGUGGGUAUGUAUAUAUUGUUUUGUUAUUUACCCAUCCUGAUACCUGUACUUCUCUGACAAAAAUCAAAAGAUUUGUUAUUGUUGUAAGUUCAGGACUUUAUAGUGAUAGACUAUAUUAUUUUAUUUGAGACUUAAACCUGCAUUACCGCAAGGUUGAGUAAUCAAAAUCACUGCAAGGGGUUUGUUGGUGGUUUGUACAUUCACCCUGUGCUGCAUGAAGAGUAGUCUGGGUGUUAAGAGAUAUGGGAGUUGCAAAGUGCUUACCAACCAAAUGACUGGUGGUAUGAAGUGGAAAACAAUAAUGGACUGAUGAUUUAACCCUACUUAGCAGAGCCUGCCUUGCUGUGAAAGGCUACAAACCAUUACAACACCUGGGUCAUUUCUGACAUAGAUUUUGGCUCCAAGGGGGGGGGGGGGCUGAUCCACUUUUGUGUCCAGCUAAUAGGGUUUUAACUCAAAUUCUGCAUCUGUUGACCCAUUUCGGGGUCAUUUUGACACAUUCUGGGUCAAUGUCCCUAAAAUGGGUCAAACCCCCACAGGAACUGGAUUUGGGUCUAUUUUGAGACAGACUAUGCUAGAGGUAGAAUGUCAGACCAAUAGCACUUAAAAAAAAAAAAAAAAGAA
This is a long non-coding RNA of Asterias rubens (European starfish), 1599 nucleotides long. RefSeq lists it as uncharacterized. The transcript is spliced from 3 exons. The record is from RefSeq and is a predicted model, not a curated record. NCBI's taxonomy places the organism in Eukaryota, Metazoa, Echinodermata, Asteroidea, Forcipulatida, Asteriidae.